GCUUACAGCCAUACCACUCUGAGAACGCCCGAUCUCAUGUGAUGUCGGAAACUAAACAGGGUCGGGCCUGGUUAGUACUUGGAUUGGGAGGCUGCCUGGGAAUACCAGGUGCUGUAAGCU
Molecule: ribosomal RNA, 120 nt
Organism: Pygocentrus nattereri (red-bellied piranha)
Lineage: Eukaryota; Metazoa; Chordata; Actinopteri; Characiformes; Serrasalmidae
Source: Ensembl